GUCCACGCCGUAAACGAUGGAUGCUAGCCGUCAGCAAGCAUGCUUGUUGGUGGCGCAGCUAACGCAUUAAGCAUCCCGCCUGGGGAGUACGGCCGCAAGGUUAAAACUCAAAGGAAUUGACGGGGGCCCCGCACAAGCGGUGGAGCAUGUGGUUUAAUUCGACGCAACGCUAAGAACCUUACCAGCCCUUGACAUGCCCGGACGGUUUCCAGAAACGGAUUCCUCCUAGCAAUAGGUCGGGACACAGGUGCUGCAUGGCUGUCGU
This 265-nucleotide ribosomal RNA is filed under the name uncultured bacterium. RNAcentral's name for it is "partial 16S ribosomal RNA". It matches the Rfam family "Bacterial small subunit ribosomal RNA", at positions 793 to 1055 of the family's 1533-position model. The record is from RNAcentral.